AGUGAACGCUGGCGGUAGGCCUAACACAUGCAAGUCGAACGGAAGCACAGUAAGAGCUUGCUCUUACGGGUGGCGAGUGGCGGACGGGUGAGGAAUACAUCGGAAUCUACUUUUUCGUGGGGGAUAACGUAGGGAAACUUACGCUAAUACCUCAUACGACCUACGGGUGAAAUCAAGGGAUCUUCGGACCUUGCGCGAUUGAAUGAGCCGAUGUCGGAUUAGCUAGUUGGCGGGGUAAAGGCCCACCAAGGCGACGAUCCGUAGCUGGUCUGAGAGGAUGAUCAGCCACACUGGAACUGAGACACGGUCCAGACUCCUACGGGAGGCAGCAGUGGGGAAUAUUGGACAAUGGGCGCAAGCCUGAUCCAGCCACACCGCGUGAGUGAAGAAGGCCUUCGGGUUGUAAAGCCCUUUUGUUAGGAAAGAAAAGCAGCAGGUUAAUCCCCCGCUGUUCUGACGGUACCCAAAGAAUAAGCACCGGCUAACUUCGUG
Molecule: ribosomal RNA, 492 nt
Filed under: uncultured bacterium
Lineage: Bacteria
Description: partial 16S ribosomal RNA
Rfam family: Bacterial small subunit ribosomal RNA
Source: RNAcentral